CUGGUUCUGGAGCUGGAAGGUAGCACCUUGGACAGAGCAGUGCUGGGGAAGGGUAGAAGGAGCUGCAGCCAAGGAAAACCCCAGGCUGCUGGCAUAGGCCAGGCAGGUGCAUAGGGCUGAAGGGGAAGUGGCCCAGGGACAAUAGCAGGGCAAGAGAAGAUAAGGAGGGCAGAGAGGCUGCUGCUAAAGGGUCCCUGGGUUGGGACCCAGAGAAGUGGGUGGGCCUGGGUCCCCCCCUUUCCCUUGUGCUACACCUGGCUGAAGAGGAGUGUGGCCUGAUCCAGGCUGUGGCUGGUCUCUGUGACAAGGGGCUAGACUUAGAGGCUGCAGCUGGCCACUACAGCAGGUGCAGAUUGUGGACUGCUGAUAACACCAAACCCCUGGAAGGGGGUGAGACUGGAGCAGUGGGCACUGCCAGAGGGCAGUGUCCUGAAGAGGAUGUUGCUGAGUGGGGAGCAAUGAGGCUCCCCAAAGCAGAAGAGCAGAUGAAGGGCAAGGCACCAUGUGCAAAAGGUGCCCCAUGACUGGACAGAGCUAAUUCCUGGAGCAACCAGUGGGAGGUGCUGGCAGUGUUCAGCAUGAAAAAGGGGCCUGUCAGGAUGUCAACUGUGCCAUUGCGGUCUUCAGGAGCGCCCCCACCACAUCCUUGGAACACCUGAACCAGAUGAGGAGGAGAAAACAGAGAACUUGGGAUGACAUUCAGUGGGAUCCUGCAAGCCAGUGCUGUAUAACACUGUGACCAAAGGGCCUAGAAGGUAAACACUGCAGUCUAUAUGGAGAAAGAAAAAGCAGGCAGGAGAAAGUCCCAGCAGGAAAAGAAGAGAGAGAUGCGCCAGGACAUAAUGGGGCUUAUCCAGCAGCAAACACAGAUGCUGCAGACUUGUCUGGUCCUACAGGUUCAACGAUCACAGACUCACCUCCCUUUGCAGUCCAGAGACAACUCCGUUACAGCAUCUCCCUUCAGCCCCACCCACUCAACAUUCCAUGUAGCAUCAGGGGCCACAUUCCUCUCCCAACCACUCCACACUAGGGAAUGCUAAGGGCAACCACAGUUUCACUUAAACAGACCUGUGAAACACAUGGUUUCUGUAUGUUUGGCUAAAAUGGACAUGAAUUGUCUUUCCCCUUCUUAAAUUCUGUUCCAUUACUAUAUAAAGUUUAUAAUGUACUUUUGCUUUUAAAUUGAACAGAUUUUUGCACUGGUUUUGUUACUGAAUAAAAUUCUAUUUGGAAAAUAUUUCAUCUUUAUAAUUCCCAACACAUGUUGCAGAGUGCCUAGCAGUUCUCAAAGCACCCACUUACUUGUUAUUUUACAGAGCGACUCAACUCAUAUGAUCA
Dermochelys coriacea (leatherback sea turtle) is the source of this 1338-nucleotide long non-coding RNA. RefSeq lists it as uncharacterized. The record is from RefSeq and is a predicted model, not a curated record. NCBI's taxonomy places the organism in Eukaryota, Metazoa, Chordata, Testudines, Dermochelyidae. The transcript is spliced from 3 exons.